CAGCCGCCGCGGUAAUACGUAGGUGGCAAGCGUUGUCCGGAAUUAUUGGGCGUAAAGGGCUCGCAGGCGGUUUCUUAAGUCUGAUGUGAAAGCCCCCGGCUCAACCGGGGAGGGUCAUUGGAAACUGGGAAACUUGAGUGCAGAAGAGGAGAGUGGAAUUCCACGUGUAGCGGUGAAAUGCGUAGAGAUGUGGAGGAACACCAGUGGCGAAGGCGACUCUCUGGUCUGUAACUGACGCUGAGGAGCGAAAGCGUGGGGAGCGAACAGGAUUAGAUGCCCCUGUAGUCCCUGUCUCUUAUAA
Molecule: ribosomal RNA, 301 nt
Filed under: uncultured bacterium
Lineage: Bacteria
Description: partial 16S ribosomal RNA
Rfam family: Bacterial small subunit ribosomal RNA
Source: RNAcentral